Molecule: ribosomal RNA, 478 nt
Filed under: uncultured bacterium
Lineage: Bacteria
Description: partial 16S ribosomal RNA
Rfam family: Bacterial small subunit ribosomal RNA
Source: RNAcentral
GACGAACGCUGGCGGCGUGCUUAACACAUGCAAGUCGAACGGAAAGGCCCUUCGGGGUACUCGAGUGGCGAACGGGUGGGUAACACGUGGGUGAUCUGCACUGCACUUUGGGAUAAGCCUGGGAAACUGGGUCUACUUCCGAAUAGGGCCGCAUGCGUCAGGGUGCGUGGUCGAAAGCUUGUGCGGGGUGGGAUGGGCCCGCGGCCUAUCGGCUUGUUGGUGUGGUAAUGGCCUACCAAGGCGACGACGGGGAGCCGGCCUGAGAGGGUGACGGGCCACACGGGGACUGAGAUACGGCCCAGACUCCUAGGGGAGGCAGCAGUGGGGAAUAUUGCACAAUGGGCGCAAGCCUGAUGCAGCGACGCAGCGUGAGGGAUGACGGGCUUCGGGUUGUAAACCUCUUUCAGCAGGGACGAAGCGCAAGUGACGGUACCUGCAGAAGAAGGACCGGCCAACUACGUGCCAGCAGCCGCCGUAA